AUUCUUACCUGGCAGGGGAGAUACAAUGAUCACAAAGGUGGUUCUCCCAGGGUGAGGCUCAUUCCUUGCACUCUGGGUGUGCUGACCCCUGCGUUUUCCCCAAAUGUGGGAACCUCGACUGCGUAAUCUGUGGUAAUGGUAAUUUCCCC
Molecule: small nuclear RNA, 149 nt
Filed under: Dasypus novemcinctus (nine-banded armadillo)
Lineage: Eukaryota; Metazoa; Chordata; Mammalia; Cingulata; Dasypodidae
Description: U1 spliceosomal RNA (ENSDNOG00000032459.1)
Rfam family: U1 spliceosomal RNA
About the family: U1 is a small nuclear RNA (snRNA) component of the spliceosome (involved in pre-mRNA splicing). Its 5' end forms complementary base pairs with the 5' splice junction, thus defining the 5' donor site of an intron.
Source: RNAcentral